AUAUCAUGGUUAGGGCAAUUUACGAGCAUUUCUUUGAAUCUUUCCUAUGCUUUAAACCAAUGUUCUUCAUGAAAUUGAUGGAAAUUAACAAUUUCAUCUCGUAAUAU
Small nucleolar RNA from Capsicum annuum, 107 nucleotides. Lineage: Eukaryota; Viridiplantae; Streptophyta; Magnoliopsida; Solanales; Solanaceae. The record is from RefSeq and is a predicted model, not a curated record.